GAUGAACGCUGGCGGCGUGCCUAAUACAUGCAAGUCGAGCGAGAAGCUUGGAAAUGACGCUUCGGUUGAUUUUCCAAGCGGACAGCGGCGGACGGGUGAGUAACGCGUAGGCAACCUGCCCCUGACAGAGGGAUAGCCAUUGGAAACGAUGAUUAAAACCUCAUGACACCGUAGUAGCACAUGCUACAUCGGUCAAAGAUUUAUCGGUCAGGGAUGGGCCUGCGUCUGAUUAACUGGUUGGUGAGGUAACGGCUCACCAAGGUGACGAUCAGUAGCCGACCUGAGAGGGUGAUCGGCCACAUUGGAACUGAGACACGGUCCAAACUUCUACGGAAGGCAGCAGUAGGGAAUCUUGCACAAUGGGCGAAAGCCUGAUGCAGCAACGCCGCGUGAAGGAUGAAGGCCUUCGGGUUGUAAACUUCUGUUCUAAGGGAAGAAAGGAAUGACGGUACCUUAGGAGCAAGCCCCGGCUAACUACGUGCCAGCAGCCGCGGUAAUACGUAGGGGGCAAGCGUUAUCCGGAAUUAUUGGGCGUAAAGAGUGCGUAGGUGGUUACCUAAGCGCAAGGUUUAAAUUAGAGGCUCAACCUCUACAUGCCUUGCGAACUGGGCUACUUGAGUGCAGGAGGGGAAAGCGGAAUUCCUAGUGUAGCGGUGAAAUGCGUAGAUAUUAGGAGGAACACCGGCGGCGAAGGCGGCUUUCUGGACUGUAACUGACACUGAGGCACGAAAGCGUGGGUAGCAAACAGG
This 749-nucleotide ribosomal RNA is filed under the name uncultured Mogibacterium sp. RNAcentral's name for it is "bacterial SSU rRNA". It matches the Rfam family "Bacterial small subunit ribosomal RNA", at positions 28 to 776 of the family's 1533-position model. Lineage: Bacteria; Bacillati; Bacillota; Clostridia; Peptostreptococcales; Anaerovoracaceae. The record is from RNAcentral.